UAAACUAGGAUUAGAUACCCUAUUAUUUUAAAUGUAAAAAUUUAUAAAUACUAAAUUAGUAUUAGUUAUGUUCUUGAAAAUUAAAAAAUUUGGCGGUAUUUUAGUCUUUUCAGAGGAAUCUGUCCUGUAAUUGAUAGUCCACGAUUAAAUUUACUUUAUUUAUUAGUUUAUAUAUCGUCGUAGUUUGAAUAUUUUAAAAGAAGUUUAAUAUUCGAAAUUUUAAAUUAAAAAAUAAAUCAGAUCAAGGUGUAGUUUAUAAUAAAGAAGAGAUGGAUUACAAUAAAUUUAUUUUAGGAUAAUUUAUUAAAAAUAAAUUUGAAUUUGGAUUUGAAAGUAAUUUUAAAUAUUUUUUUGUUAUGAUUAUAGCUCUAAAAUAUGUACACAUCGCCCGUCGCUCUUAA
This 401-nucleotide ribosomal RNA is filed under the name Bruchidius gerrardiicola. RNAcentral's name for it is "partial 12S ribosomal RNA". The record is from RNAcentral. Lineage: Eukaryota; Metazoa; Arthropoda; Insecta; Coleoptera; Chrysomelidae.